Molecule: ribosomal RNA, 477 nt
Filed under: uncultured bacterium
Lineage: Bacteria
Description: bacterial SSU rRNA
Rfam family: Bacterial small subunit ribosomal RNA
Source: RNAcentral
AAUUCGCCCUUAGAGUUUGAUCAUGGCUCAGAUUGAACGCUGGCGGCAGGCCUAACACAUGCAAGUCGAACGGUAACAGGAAGAAGCUUGCUUCUUUGCUGACGAGUGGCGGACGGGUGAGUAAUGUCUGGGAAACUGCCUGAUGGAGGGGGAUAACUACUGGAAACGGUAGCUAAUACCGCAUAACGUCGCAAGACCAAAGAGGGGGACCUUCGGGCCUCUUGCCAUCGGAUGUGCCCAGAUGGGAUUAGCUAGUAGGUGGGGUAACGGCUCACCUAGGCGACGAUCCCUAGCUGGUCUGAGAGGAUGACCAGCCACACUGGAACUGAGACACGGUCCAGACUCCUACGGGAGGCAGCAGUGGGGAAUAUUGCACAAUGGGCGCAAGCCUGAUGCAGCCAUGCCGCGUGUAUGAAGAAGGCCUUCGGGUUGUAAAGUCCUUUCAGCGGGGAGGAAGGGAGUAAAGUUAAUACCUUG